This 793-nucleotide ribosomal RNA is filed under the name uncultured archaeon. Its description in RNAcentral is "bacterial SSU rRNA". It matches the Rfam family "Archaeal small subunit ribosomal RNA", at positions 85 to 879 of the family's 1478-position model. The record is from RNAcentral.
ACUGCUCAGUAACACGUGGACAACCUACCCAAAAGUCCGGGAUAACCCCGGGAAACUGGGGAUAAUACCGGAUAGAUCAUCUGUGCUGGAAGGCUGGGUGGUUGAAACUUCCGGGGCUUUUGGAUGGGUCUGCGGCUGAUUAGGUUGUUGCCGGUGUAACGUACCGUCAAGCCUGUAAUCAGUACGGGUUGUGGGAGCAAGAGCCCGGAGAUGGAUUCUGAGACACGAAUCCAGGCCCUACGGGGCGCAGCAGGCGCGAAAACUCUACAAUGCAGGCAACUGCGAUAGGGGAACAUCGAGUGAUCCUCAUAUUGGGGGUCUGUCCACCCGUCUAAAAAACGGGUGUUAGCAAGGGCCGGGCAAGACCGGUGCCAGCCGCCGCGGUAAUACCGGCGGCUCGAGUGGUGGCCGAUAUUAUUGAGUCUAAAGGGUCCGUAGCCGGCUUUGCAAGUCUCUCGGGAAAUCCAGCGGCUUAACCGUUGGUCGUCCGGGGGGUACUACAUUGCUUGGGACUGGGAGAGGUAGGAGGUACUCAGGGGGUAGGAGUGAAAUCCUGUAAUCCUCUGGGGACCACCGGUGGCGAAGGCGUCCUACCAGAACAGGUCCGACGGUGAGGGACGAAAGCUAGGGGCACGAACCGGAUUAGAUACCCGGGUAGUCCUAGCCGUAAACGAUGCUCGCUAGGUGUCACAACAGUCGUGAACUGUUGUGGUGCCGUAGGGAAGCCGUGAAGCGAGCCACUUGGGAAGUACGACCGCAAGGUUGAAACUUAAAGGAAUUGGCGGGGGAGCAC